RNAcentral lists this ribosomal RNA (272 nucleotides) under uncultured Lactobacillus sp. RNAcentral describes it as "partial 16S ribosomal RNA". The stretch from base 31 to 272 matches the Rfam family "Bacterial small subunit ribosomal RNA", at positions 102 to 339 of the family's 1533-position model. The record is from RNAcentral. Lineage: Bacteria; Bacillati; Bacillota; Bacilli; Lactobacillales; Lactobacillaceae.
UCCUGAUUGAUAAACAUUGAGUGAGUGGCGACGGGUGAGUAACACGUGGGUAACCUGCCCUAAAGUGGGGGAUAACAUUUGGAAACAGAUGCUAAUACCGCAUAAACCUAACACCGCAUGGUGUAGGGUUGAAAGAUGGCUUCGGCUAUCACUUAGGAUGGACCCGCGGUGCAUUAGUUAGUUGGUGAGGUAAAGGCUCACCAAGACCGUGAUGCAUAGCCGACCUGAGAGGGUAAUCGGCCACACUGGGACUGAGACACGGCCCAGACUCC